RNAcentral lists this ribosomal RNA (251 nucleotides) under uncultured bacterium. RNAcentral describes it as "partial 16S ribosomal RNA". It matches the Rfam family "Bacterial small subunit ribosomal RNA", at positions 525 to 775 of the family's 1533-position model. The record is from RNAcentral.
ACGGAAGGUUCAGGCGUUAUCCGGAUUUAUUGGGUUUAAAGGGAGCGCAGGCGGACCUUUAAGUCAGCUGUGAAAUACGGCGGCUCAACCGUCGAACUGCAGUUGAUACUGGAGGUCUUGAGUGCACACAGGGAUACUGGAAUUCAUGGUGUAGCGGUGAAAUGCUCAGAUAUCAUGAAGAACUCCGAUCGCGAAGGCAGGUAUCCGGGGUGCAACUGACGCUGAGGCUCGAAAGUGCGGGUAUCAAACAG